ACCCCCCUAAGUGGGAGAGUUGCCACCGGAUCCCAUAAGAACUCCGGAGUUAAGCGUGCUCAGGUGGGAGCAGUCACCGGAUGGGUGACCUCCCUUGGAAGUCCCAAGGUACGUGUGC
Molecule: ribosomal RNA, 118 nt
Filed under: Spirodela intermedia
Lineage: Eukaryota; Viridiplantae; Streptophyta; Magnoliopsida; Alismatales; Araceae
Source: RNAcentral